Varroa destructor (honeybee mite) is the source of this 1805-nucleotide long non-coding RNA. RefSeq lists it as uncharacterized. The record is from RefSeq and is a predicted model, not a curated record. NCBI's taxonomy places the organism in Eukaryota, Metazoa, Arthropoda, Arachnida, Mesostigmata, Varroidae.
UAUAAUUCACUGCAAUAGUUCGGACGCUGCAGGCACUGCGUCGGGUCGCGCGUGAAUGAAGUUUAACUCUAAGGGCUCCAUAACUAAGCCAGUUGUCGUCAGUGAGUGAACCAGGCAAAUGAGGCUACGAAGCGAUCAAACUGAAGAAUCGAGUGGCCCUGACAGCGCAUCUGAUCGCGCGGCAGUAAAGGUGCACUCCUUCAUCCUAAAUGAAGGCCGUUUAGUGUUGUUAAUGCAAUCACUUCUAUCGUCCGUAGUAUUCAAUUAAGUUUUACGUCCGGUGUCGCUCUUAGGUGUUCCGCCAGACAGACGGCUAACUUUCAGUACCAGACGAAGUCCGUCAAUGCCCAAGUUCGAACUUAGACCACAACGUAUCGCCAAGAUUAGCAGGUAUUUUUCCUGUAGUGAUCCAUAAUACCGUCGCAUUGAAAUUACCCUUCACGACAGAGCGAGAAAAAUGAAGCCAUAUGAGACUCAGGUUCGCAGCAAAUACUGAAGACAAUGAAGGUAGCUUGAAGGGUCUACAAGCAAUGUUACCGUGCGAAAUGCCUUGUCUUUGCAAAAAUUGAGAAUCGAGAGAUGCGUUAGAUAUUUUGUCUGUUUUUGGAGUGAGCCAGCUAUCAGUCCUACCCAUGAAAACAAGAGAUUCCAUCGAGACUAUGGAAUACCCUGUCCACGGGAACUUUCUAAACUACCUACUAAUAAUCAUCACUCUAUUUAGAGAGUUGCACCCCGCGCACGAAUUUAACGUCCGUUUACCGAUGACUCGCUAAACGGAUAAAAGUAGCACAGGUUUAAACGAAGUACCACAGUGCCAUCUAUAGUAUUUCAGGCUCCUACAUUUAAAUGCUUUGUAUUUUGCCGCUUAUCGUAGAAUCAGCUGUUCGAUCUUCAAGCGCUAAUAGCCAGCGCUAUACUGUUGAUGUUUUGGAGGUGACACAGCUCAAAAGAACUUGCAGAAGAUAUAGGGGAUUAAUAAGCGAGUUCUGAUAGUCUUUCGGCGACGAAAAACAAGCGAUUCCUCGUACUAGUUCAAGCCUCAAUUAAAUUGGAACAUUGAAGAAAAUUUUCUCUCGUUGCAAAAAGACUUCGAACAGCAUGGACAAAGAACGUGAUCGCUGGAAGUUUUGUCCAGUGGUCGAUAUAUAUAGCGGUGCGUAGACGUUCAAUAAUUAAGUAUCAUGUCCACAGAAUCUAACGAUAGGGAUUAUAGAGGGAUUAGAGGGACGUGGAGGCCUCAAGUGCUAAACGAAUUGGAAAAGGCUGUAGUUGAAAGAAGCUGCCAGAAUGAAUAAUUCACUUCAAGAACUGUGGGUCAAUGUUCGACGCGACAAGGCACUACAAAAAGUUGGUGGUCGCCCCAGGACGCAAGUAGCACUAAGCUUCGCCCUGUUAAAUCAACAGGGAGAUUACUAUUCGUUAGGGGCCCUAUCUCUCUUAUAUCGUCAAGACAAGUGGCAGCUCUCAGCGACCCGACGUACGAAAAGCAAAAUCCUGUAUAGUGAUAGGAACGUAAUGUUGACGGUUAUCUUGCAUAGCAAGAAAUAUAUAAUCCAGUUUUAGCUUCCCCUAUUUUUGAUUACCAUUAAAAUGGAUUUAUUAAUGUUAUGUAAGUAAGGGAAGUUUUCUAUAGUCCCCAUUCCAAGUAGGGAAGAGGCUAGUGAACCGAUCGAUUGAAUCUGACGGGAAGUGAUUAAAUAACUGUAUUAAACUUGUACUCACUAAUAUCUCGAACACCAAUGCUUUCAGACGGGAUCAAGCACGGGCUUAUCUCUAUACGUCUUGGCUAGCAGUAAUAAUUGUGA